GUGCAGCCAGCAACUAUUGGGCCCAAGGCAUGGAGCAAGCCCAAUAGCACAAUAAGGGGAACUGAAUCUAAGAGGCAAAGUUCCUCAUGUGCUCAAUUCCUUAACGUGUUCCACGCUCAGUCAAAAAUUUAACUCUCAAGUUCCCGCCAUCUGAAACAGUCUUCCUCCAUCGUGCUGAAGGCAGAGCCCUAAACUAUGAACAAAUUCUACCAUCCUCCUCCUCCCAGUGCCCUAAUACUAAAUCUAAUGUCAACUUUCUAAAAUUCCUCAUCAAUCAGACGAAUCGAAGCAAAGUGCAUCAGAACCCUAACCUACAAAACUUGAAAUUAAAUCUUCAUCGUUCGGAAUCAAAGCCCUAGGGAUGAAGGAUUUGAUUCCCCUAACCAAAACCUACAUCUUGGUAACUAGAAUGGAGCAAACGGCUAUGGAAAUCGGAAACUCACCGGCGGAGAAAACGCAACUGGAACCGGAAUUUCAGGAAAUGGAUGGACCAAUGCAAGGAUGACUUGUUUUUGAAGAAACAAAUGGAGAUUAGAGUUUAGGAAUGGGAAAAAAUAUGAAUUGACUUUGGUGAACUGGUUAACCAAAAGGUCAAUAGUUGACCAAAUAUCAACUUAUGCAAAAUGUAACUCAUUUUUUUUUGUAAUUUUUCAAUGUAAUGUAUAUGGAAAAUGUAAAUAUGAUAUUGUAUGAAUGAAAUGCCCCCUUUUUAGUGAAAAAUAUUCUUAUGACUAAUGAAACAAGUUUGAAUUUCAAAUUACCA
Lathyrus oleraceus (garden pea) is the source of this 763-nucleotide long non-coding RNA. RefSeq lists it as uncharacterized. The transcript is spliced from 2 exons. Lineage: Eukaryota; Viridiplantae; Streptophyta; Magnoliopsida; Fabales; Fabaceae. The record is from RefSeq and is a predicted model, not a curated record.